This 404-nucleotide unclassified non-coding RNA is filed under the name Hevea brasiliensis (rubber tree). The record is from RNAcentral. Lineage: Eukaryota; Viridiplantae; Streptophyta; Magnoliopsida; Malpighiales; Euphorbiaceae.
GUUUGAUUAUGCAUUUAAGCAUAGACAAUGACUUCUAGAAAAAGCAUAACCAAUGAUGCCUAGUUAUGCUAGGUUUGAGAAGCACAUAUAGAUUACCCUGAAGCAUCAGGCACUUUUAUGCGUAUCAUGAACGCUAAUUAUAACUCCUUAAGUCCACUAGAUAAUGAAUCUAUAACCAGGCAUGCACUUUUUAUGGAUAAAAUGAGCAUUUGAUUAUGAGAGCAAGCUACCCAGUUUAAUCAAAUUUUGAAAAAUUAUUUUGCAAUGUCCCAACACAUUUAUUGGCUAGGCAAAUGUCCAAAGAAAGUAGCAGCAUACCGCUAAUUUGCUUUGACAACCUAGAAAACUAACAGCACUGCGAUAGCAAUAACGGCAAAGUAGAAGAGGCUAAACCUGAAUCUUGU